UCAACAUCUAAUUCUAAUCAAUCAUCAAUUAAUACAACUAAUAUCAGCUAAUUACAGAUAAAAGAGGGAUUAGGGUACCAAAAUGUGACGCAUCAAAUUCUAAGGAACCUCUUCUCCCCUCAUCUCAUGAAAGCGCGGCGGCAGAGACUUCGCUUCUGAUCGGACUCCCGGCGGACUCACCUCCGAACACACGCUCGUCUUUGUCUCAAUCCCCUCUGCCGAUCAUCUCUAUCACAUUCUUAUCAACUCUCCCUUCGAACUCGAGCAAAACGGAGACGACGGAGAGAAUCCUUCUCCUCCGAUCCACCUCCACUCUCAAACGACGGCCAGUAUCCUCACCUCCGACGAGACCGAGCACCGUGAUAAGCUAACGGCGAGUAAUCCUCACUCAUCUACCUCAUUCUCAAUUUCGUUCUCCCUUCUCUCAGAUAAUCAGCGCGUGCCAUCUCUUUGAUCGGCGACGAUUCGAAGAUGUCGGCAACGACGACUUAAGGUGAUGAAGAGGAAGGUUCGGAUUGAAGAGUGAUGAUGUUGUUGAUGGUGAUCGCUAGGAUGCGGUUAUAGUGAAGAUUGAAGGAGAAGAUUGAAGUCGUGAAGAUGAUUCUUGAAUCAAUAUCUUUGGUGACGAUUUUUCAAGUCUUUUGAUUAUUCUCUCUCCUUCCCCAAUUCUGCUGCGUUUUUGUUUUUGUUGAUUAGGAAGAUGAUUUUCUCAGAAGUGAAAUUGGAGAGUCAUGAUUGAAGUGUGAAGAAAUUUCUAACGAAGGUUAUGGUGAUUUGAAGGUAGAUUGAAGAGUGAUCGAUUGAGAGGUUGAAGAUUGGCGAAGGUUGCGGAUGAUGAAAAUUGCAGAGAGGAUGAAUCAAGGUCCUGAGAGAGAUAGAUGAAGUUCUGAGAAAAAAGUUUGUUACAUUUUUUUUGGUUUCUGUUAUCUGGUGAAGAAGAUAAUGAAUCGGUUAGGGAAAGUUUGUUACAGGUGAAGAUUGAAAAAAAUAGAGAGAGUUUUCAGUUAGGAGUUUGUUACGUUUUUUGUUCUGAUAAUUUUCUGUUAUGUCUCUCCUCUGAAUUCUGUUAUGUGAAUUUGUAUUCUUCUCAAUCUGAUUUUUUCAUCGUGAUGGUUUUGAUUCGGUUUUUUCCUCAGGUGCAGGAUUUUUGAUUUUGAUGCAGCAAGUGGCGGUUUAGAGCUAGGCCGUUUUCUUGGAUUGUAUGGAAGCUGAUUUUUUUAGCAUAGCUUUUGUUAUAUAAUUUUCUCUCUAGUGUAAGCCAAACUAGGAUGUACUGGAUGUAAGGGUUUUGGUUUGAAGUAAUCUUCUUAGUAUGGUUUCUUUAUGAUAUUUUCCUGUAUUGUGAUUGUAACGGAUUGGACUUGGAAACAUCAUAAUUCCUUGGGCUUUGUUGAAUUGGAAUAUGAUAACAUCAUUUUUUUU
Long non-coding RNA from Vicia villosa (hairy vetch), 1422 nucleotides. RefSeq lists it as uncharacterized. The transcript is spliced from 2 exons. The record is from RefSeq and is a predicted model, not a curated record. NCBI's taxonomy places the organism in Eukaryota, Viridiplantae, Streptophyta, Magnoliopsida, Fabales, Fabaceae.